This is a non-coding RNA of Microcebus murinus (gray mouse lemur), 3269 nucleotides long. NCBI's taxonomy places the organism in Eukaryota, Metazoa, Chordata, Mammalia, Primates, Cheirogaleidae. The record is from RefSeq and is a predicted model, not a curated record.
AAACCUCUAGUCACUGCAGCUGGACUGGGUUGGUGCUUUGUGGAUCCUGUCUUUGCUGUACCUGAUUCUGCUUCUCUGGGGUAGAUGCACUAUUUGCAUUUUAACUAAAUUCAAGUCAGUCAAACUCCAUUUAUGAAAUGCCAACUAUAUGGCAGGCAUUGUCCUCUGCACCAGGGAUACGGAGGUAACUGCGACACAAUUUCUGGCAUUUUAAGAGCAACUCCUUCACUAAGUCCCCAUUAUUUCCCAGGAGUAUGGGUGUGAGGCCAGGAAUUGCUGCAGCCAUUUCAUCACCUUGAGGAAAAACCUGCCUUACCAUGAAGACAACAUCAAGGAGGGCAGAAAGGACAACAGCCAGAAAGAAGCAGGGGCUUUGAUGACAUGGUUGAGCCAUUGAGUUAAGCCUACACUGAAGCCUGUUCUACCCCUAGGCCUUAGGCAGCUUUGGGCCACAGCGUGAGGGACCUUGGGGCUCAGGCUUUAUUCUGGGGCAGAAGGAAACCACAGAAGGUUUUCAAGGAGGGGAGUGUGCUGGCGACCUGAGUGGUGGAAGUUGCCUAUGUUGGACCAAGACCAGAACUGGGGGCCUGAGCCGAGACAGAAGAAGGGGACAAAUUUAAGGGUCACUUAGGUGACAGAAGCCAGCCUAACUGGAUAAGAGGGCAUGAGGAAGAGGACGUGCUUUGGGAAGAGUCUGAAACUCUCAGCCCGACUGCACAAAUGGAGAAGCGCUCCUUCCUCCUUCUGCCCCUGUCGCCGUCCCCGGUGAAGUCAUCUCCACUGCCAACCCCUUCACGCUCCUCUUUUGUGGAUUCAUGCCUCUGAUCACGGUUCUUCGUGAGCAUGCCUGGUCCUCCGGCGCGGGGACCACGCCCCGUCGUCUUCACGUCCCCGGGGACUAGCCUGGCGCACGGUUGGCGCGGGCUCAAGGCUGACUUGGAUUGAGUUCUUGCUGAGCUAGGCAUUAGCUGCACCCUCCUCCUGCCCCCAGGGCUUAGUCAUCUGUUUCAUAAGCAGCUUCCAAAAGCUGCAGCCCCAGUACCCGGCUUCCUUGCUGUUGGCAGGUGUCGGCCGCCCCGAGUGCCAGAAGGCCAGGGAGCCAGCCACCGGGAGCACGCUAGGGCGGGGCGGGAGCGGAGAGCAGGGCUGGCGUACAUUUACGGGGGGCGUGUGUGCUCCCCGGGAGCGCCGUGACUACACCCCUCUCCAGGAAACACAAACCAGAUCCCCGUCCUUUCUUUCUUCUCACCUGUCCUGUCUUGUGGCCAGAAGCGCAUUCAUCAGCUUUCGUGCCUCUAAAGUCUAUAGGUUUGGGGGCCACACCCUUCUAACUACCUCAGGUUUGCUCCCUGGGAUUUUUAACCCCUUCCCAGCCCACCAGGUCUGAAAUGCUUGGAUUAAUAAUUUCACAAAAUUAUUAACCUUUUAUGUCCCUUCAGAAGAGGCGUCUCAGUUUUCCUGAUGUCCGCUCCCCCACCCUGGAACUUCUCCCUCUGCUAAUUCAUCCCAUAGGAUGGUGACGGUUUGGGGGUGGUCAAGAGCCAUGUGGCACUAGGGGCAACUAGAUGCACCUUUUAGCACCUUUCCAGAGCACCCCCUCCUUAUUUAUUUAUUUAUUUUUGUAUCAGCCUCCUCUGGGCUUUACAAUGCCCCUUCCUCCUCCAACCCCAGGGUUUUCCUCAUCACCACGCCAAGAUUUCAAGGUUUUCCUCUGGUCUGUUUCGUUAUGGAAAUUUCUGGUCCCCUGCUAGCCUGUGCUUCUCGGAUGGGCUCUGAAACUCAGCUCUCAUCUGCCCCAAUGUUAUGUUGUUUUUUUCCCUGUCGCUAUGGCAGGGAUUAAGACGGGAGCCAGGGGAGGAGGGCGGAGGGAAGAGAGAGAGCAGAGAAAUGCAGAAUGACACGACGGGAGACAGCCGGAUUGGAGGGCACCGGAGCAGGAGGAAACCGGGAGAGAAAUGGGCUGACUGUGUCAAGGAAAGGAAGAGGCAUUUCUGUUUGCUUUGUUCUAUUUUGGUUUUGGUUUUUUAGUUCGAGUUUGUUUCCAGAGGGGAAGACAGAAGCAGUUAGUGCUGAAUCCUCCCCCAGUGCAGUCAUGGCUACAGCAAUCCCCCUCCCAUCCUCAGUAACCCAGAGGCAAGCUGCAGAUCCCGGAUCUAAUAAGGAAAACUCUCAAAAUAGCUUCCAGCUAAUUCACUCUAAUUCACUCAAUGAACAAGCCUUUCAGCCUUGGUCCCUGGAGUGAGAGGUCCUCAGGACCAAGGGAGAUGCCCGAGCAGGGGCCAUGCCCACACCUCCCCGUCCAGCCGAUGUCCUUAUACUCGGGACCCCAGAAUCUCUGCCUGGAUGGCCCAAGCCCACUCCCAGGGCCCGUUCCCGCGGUUCACCCUCUCAAGGUGGCCUGUUCCACCAGUGGCGGAGGAAUGGUUGCUUGGGGCUGGGCAGGAAGGACAGCACAUGGAGGUGUAGGCUGGUGUCAGGCACGUGCAUGUGGGCAAGGCCCCUGGUUGGUGGCAGGAACUCAAGGGGACAGGCCCUGAACGGGGACUGCUUCUCCCUGGCUUGCUACAUCCUGGUCUGAAGAGUCUGCGAAUUCUAAAGUCAUGCUUGGCCUUCCAGAAUGUUACAAAGGUACAUUUGUGAAGAUGCUUCUAGUGGGGGCAGAAUUGAGUUCUUUGGAUUAUUUGGUGUCUCUCAUGAUGGGGAUCUGCACCAUCUGCUAGUUGAAGACAUGAUAUUUUUUGGUGAGGGGGGAGGAAACAGGAUCCAAAAUUAAAUACAAUUUUAAUUAAAUUAAUUCAAAAUUAAAAUAGAAAUCUAUUCAAAGGGUAGCAGCCCUUCACUUGUUCAGAGAUGAUUUAUACAGCAAGCUCAGCCAUUGGAACACUGCAAGCAACAAGAAAAGGAGCAAAACCCAGCAAAACCCCCCAAAACAAGUGAAUGGACAAACAACAACCCUCAAAGCAAACAAAGCAAAAAACACUAUUCACAGCCGAAAUGAAUAUCACAGAAUUCAGCCCCUGGAGUUUAUGUAUUUACUCACGGGCAAGCCAUUCUGACCCUCCUUCAGAGCCCAUUUGUUCUUCCUAUAGGCGGACACAAUACAGGGAACAAUCUGGGUGAGGAACGUCCCAUUCCGCAGCAGAUAAGAAAGAGCACCCCAGGAGAGGAGACACUGACACUCUGCCAGGAACGAGAAGACAGGUGUCCGUUUGUGUUAAGGGCAGAGACAAAACCAGAAUAACAAGCAGAUGGAGAAGGCCAGCAUGGGA